GCGGGCGUGGCGGAACGGUAGACGCGCCGGAUUCAAAAUCCGGUUUCCGAAAGGAAGUGUGGGUUCGAAACCCACCGCCCGCACCA
This 86-nucleotide transfer RNA is filed under the name Citreicella sp. C3M06. Its description in RNAcentral is "tRNA-Leu". It matches the Rfam family "tRNA". Rfam says of the family: Transfer RNA (tRNA) molecules are approximately 80 nucleotides in length. Their secondary structure includes four short double-helical elements and three loops (D, anti-codon, and T loops). Further hydrogen bonds mediate the characteristic L-shaped molecular structure. tRNAs have two regions of fundamental functional importance: the anti-codon, which is responsible for specific mRNA codon recognition, and the 3' end, to which the tRNAs corresponding amino acid is attached (by aminoacyl-tRNA synthetases). tRNAs cope with the degeneracy of the genetic code in two manners: having more than one tRNA (with a specific anti-codon) for a particular amino acid; and 'wobble' base-pairing, i.e. permitting non-standard base-pairing at the 3rd anti-codon position. RNAcentral also lists the same sequence under 1 other name. Lineage: Bacteria; Pseudomonadati; Pseudomonadota; Alphaproteobacteria; Rhodobacterales; Roseobacteraceae. The record is from RNAcentral.